AACGCAAAUGGCGCUUUUGAUUUCUCAAAAGCAUGUCUGUCUGAGAGUCGAUACAACACCUCUUUCUCUCUUCAUAUACUUGUUAUCUGCGGAGGAAAGGAAAUGAGGGAGAAUCGCAAUACACAUCUUUUGUUGUAUUGAGUCCCUUUAAAUGAAAGGAUAAAUGGAAAGACAUUAACUUCAUAUAUCAUCCACGCAUAUAUGACAUAAUCCUCACCCAAAGUGAGACAACAUUCUUUUGAUGUUUCAUUAGUAAGUUUGGCAUUUGAAAUACAUGUCGUGAAAGUGGUAUACGUUGUGGUUUUUCACAUUUCAACUAUCAUAAACACAUAUGUGUUUUCCAACUCUUUAUUUUAAACUCCGACCUCAGAUCAGACAAGACUACCCGCUGAAUUUAA
RNAcentral lists this unclassified non-coding RNA (398 nucleotides) under uncultured fungus. RNAcentral describes it as "partial contains internal transcribed spacer 2 and large subunit ribosomal RNA". Lineage: Eukaryota; Fungi. The record is from RNAcentral.